GAUGAACGCUGGCGGCGUGCCUAAUACAUGCAAGUCGAGCGAACAGACGAGGAACUUGCUCCUCUGCCGUUAGCGGCGGACGGGUGAGUAACACGUGGAUAACAAACCUAUAAGACUGGGAUACCUUCGGGAAACCGGCGCUAAUAACGGAUAAUAUAUUCAAUCGCAUGGUUCAAUAGUGAAAUACGGUUUUGCUGUCACUUAUACAUGGAUCCGCGCCGCAUUAGCUAGUUGGUAAGGUAACGGCUUACCAAGGCGACGAUGCGUAGCCGACCUAAGAGGGAGAGCGGCCACACUGGAACUGAGACACGGCCCAGACUCCUACGGGAGGCAGCAGUAGGGAAUCUUACGCAAGGGGCGAAAGCCGGACGGAGCAACACCGCGUGAGUGAUGAAGGUCUUCGGAUCGUAAAGCUCUGUAAUUAGGGAAGAACAAAUGUGUAAGUAUCUGUGCACGUCUUGACGGUACCUAAGCAGAAAGCCACGGCUAACUACGUG
This 497-nucleotide ribosomal RNA is filed under the name uncultured bacterium. RNAcentral's name for it is "partial 16S ribosomal RNA". It matches the Rfam family "Bacterial small subunit ribosomal RNA", at positions 28 to 507 of the family's 1533-position model. The record is from RNAcentral.